Molecule: long non-coding RNA, 1486 nt
Filed under: Ficedula albicollis (Collared flycatcher)
Lineage: Eukaryota; Metazoa; Chordata; Aves; Passeriformes; Muscicapidae
Description: lncRNA (ENSFALG00000023875.1)
Source: RNAcentral
AUUUGUGUCUGCUGUGAAUGCAAGGGGUGUGUUCCACCAGAAAGCAGCCCUAGCGAAUGGAUAAUAUGCUCAUUCAUUUGCUAUGUUGGUCUAAGGUAACCACAAAGGCCGAGAGCUUGUACCGUGCCAGGUACUCUGAGCAGCACACUAAGAUAACAUUACCUGGCCUUGGUCCCAGAGAAUGACUUUUCCCAGAGUCAAAUUGACCAAGCUUUUAUUAUAUUACAAGAUCUUACUCUGCACCAAUUUGGGUUCAUUGAAGAAGUACAUCUUGGAAACUUAUUUAGCACCUCAGGUUUAAAAAUUCAGUAGUAAUAAACUAAAUAUUCUCUUAUUAUUUUUUAAAACUCUAGCCUUGAAACUCCUGGUUGUGACAUCUGCUGUGGUACAACACCAGCUCCAGAUGUAGCUGCAACCCACAGAACAAUACACCAUGACCAUUGAGAUACCUGCACAUGCAACAAGGAGUCCAGCACACUUGACCAGCCAAGCUCCCGCAUCUGAGGCAGGAACUGUCCUGAUCAGAUUUCUUGUAAGGAUGAAUCCAAGUAAAAUUACAGUUAAAUCAAAUGUAGAUGCCUGGGAAGACGUAAUGGAUUUCCUUUGUGGGGAGGAGUAACACUGAAACAACCUGUAUAUCUUGCAAUAAUAAAACUAGUUGUAAAAUAUUUUUAAACAAGGUAUGUGAACUCAAGCACAACAGCCACAGAACUUCCCUUGGCAAAAAGUGGGAGCUAUAGGAGGCAAAAAAGAGCAAUUGUUUUUGUUGCUGCCAUGAAGUGAUGCUAAAGAACAUGAUGCUGCCACCCACCAUAGCCUCCUUACUUUUUGAAAUCAAGAGUUUAGGAAGGGGCAACAGAGAUUAUGCCAGGCCAUAGGUUGACUUAAGACCCAGCCCAAACAAGAGAAUACUCACGGGGAGGGGGAUUUAGGGAUAGGCAUGAUACGAGAAGAUACAAUGUAAACUUUGCUGACUUUCAGUAGGUCUCAUUCUGCACAACUCCCAACCUUCAACCUUUCAUUCUAAGAAGGGCAACCAACCAUACAAAUAUGGGGAGUAAAGAAAUUCUGCUUCUAAGUUGAUUUUUAAGAAGGUAAACUGGCAGUAUGAGGCAAAAUGCACAAAAAGAAACCAGAAAAAAACCCCAGCCAACAGGAGACAUGAACAUACUUUGGCUAUGUGAGGGGUUGGCAGCCUAACUGCAUGUGACAGGAUGCUCCCAAAUCUGCAGCCAGCCAGCCAUUUUCAUAGUGCUUGGGAUGUUUCUUUUAUAGCCGAACAACCUGCCACACAUAACACACAACAAGCUGGCAAAGCCCAUCUAUAAUAUGCUUCCUCCAGUCCUUCAACCUGCUAAAAGGUGCUGUGGUCACCCCAAACCUAUACUCAGCUGUGGCAUCUUUUCUUACCACUAUCCUGGGCAAUGAGAUGUCAAGGCUAGACAUGUUCCCUGACCAUAGUCAAACUACUGAGCUCUACUGUGCU